CCUACGGGAGGCAGCAGUAGGGAAUUUUGCUCAAUGGGGGAAACCCUGAAGCAGCAACGCCGCGUGGAGGAUGAAGGUUUUCGGAUUGUAAACUCCUUUUGUUAGAGAAGAUAAUGUCGGUAUCUAACUAAUAAGCACUGGCUAAUUCCGUGUCAGCAGCCGCGGUCAUACGGUGGGUGCAAGCGGUACUCGGAAACACUGGGCGGAAAGGGCGCGUAGGUGGGAUAGCAAGUCAGAUGUGAAAUCCUAUGGCUUAACCAUAGAGCUGCAUUUGAAACUGUUAUUCUAGAGUAUGGGAGAGGUAGAUGGAAUUCUUGGUGUAGGGGUAGAAUCCGUAGAGAUCAAGAAGAAUACUCAUUGCGAAGGCGACCUGCUAGAACAAAACUGACGCUGAUGCGCGAAAGCGUGGGGAGCAAACAGGAUUAGAUACCCUGGUAGUC
Molecule: ribosomal RNA, 440 nt
Filed under: uncultured bacterium
Lineage: Bacteria
Description: partial 16S ribosomal RNA
Rfam family: Bacterial small subunit ribosomal RNA
Source: RNAcentral